UACGUAGGGUGCAAGCGUUGUCCGGAAUUAUUGGGCGUAAAGAGCUCGUAGGCGGUUUGUCGCGUCUGCUGUGAAAACCCGAGGCUCAACCUCGGGCCUGCAGUGGGUACGGGCAGACUAGAGUGCGGUAGGGGAGAUUGGAAUUCCUGGUGUAGCGGUGGAAUGCGCAGAUAUCAGGAGGAACACCAAUGGCGAAGGCAGAUCUCUGGGCCGUAACUGGACGCUGAGGAGCGAAAGCAUGGGGGAGCGAACAGG
Molecule: ribosomal RNA, 255 nt
Filed under: uncultured bacterium
Lineage: Bacteria
Description: partial 16S ribosomal RNA
Rfam family: Bacterial small subunit ribosomal RNA
Source: RNAcentral